GUUCACAGUCGUUGCACCAGACAAGGUGGUUGGGUAGAAUUGAAAUGGCGUGUCUGGGGCUCCUUGUCCUUUUGGCAGCCUUCUCCGGUGUCAGGUCCCAGAUCCAGCUGACCCAGUCUGGGGCAGAAAUCAAGAAGCCUGGAGAGUCUGUGAAGGUGACAUGUAAAACCUCCGGCUACACCUUUACCAGCUAUUACAUGAGCUGGGUACGGCAGGCUCCCGGGAAAGGACUGGAGUGGAUAGGAUACAUCUAUCCCGGUGAUGGUGAAACUGGCUAUGCCCAGGCCUUCCAGGGGCGAUUCACCAUCACCAGGGACACCUCCAUGAGCACGGCCUAUCUACAGCUGGGCAGCCUGAGAACCGACGACACAGCCAGGUAUUACUGUGCUCGGGACACAGUGACACAAACCACAUCUGGACCAAUUCAAAAACCCUCCAGUGAGAGAACCCGGGUCUCCUGCGAACACUGCAGCCCUCAGCCACCCCGGAUAACGGUGACCCCUGUGAACAGACUCUGGGUAAUUAUCCCCUAGUGACUUAGGAGCAGUGAAAGCUAAUGGGAUUUAGAACCUUAAGUGCCUAAAUCACUUUUCAAGCUAGGACUCUGUUCCCGGGACACAGUCAACAUUAGCCGGAGGAGAAGGGGACCAGAACAAUCACAGCCCUUGGAGAAGCUGGGUGUGCCAGGAAGCGUGUGUCUGCCUCAGGAUGGGAGCCAUUACCGGGGCGUUGACCCCCUGCCUUCGCCCGCAGCUCCCGGGAGGGAAGGGAGCCCCGGCUAUUAGACCCUGUUAGCGAACCUCGCUGGGAGUGAGAGGAGACUAAGGACCCCCCCAAAACAGGCGCCUUGA
Molecule: non-coding RNA, 851 nt
Organism: Caretta caretta (loggerhead turtle)
Lineage: Eukaryota; Metazoa; Chordata; Testudines; Cheloniidae
Source: the annotation of a RefSeq genome assembly